UUUAAGCGCAAGGUUUUCUACGCAACGUUCAUCGGCGUAGAGUGAGUCGGCCCCUAAGGCGAGGCAGAGAUGCGUAGCUGAUGGGAAACAGGUCAAUAUUCCUGUACCGAUGUGUAGUGCGAUGUGGGGACGGAUCUUAAUAGGUCAUCCGGGUGUUGGAUAUCCCGGUUUAGUUGGAAGUAGGCGAUGGGUAGGCAAAUCCGCCCGUCAUAUACCGAGGCCAACGAUCGAGCCAGCUUGCUGGUGAAGUGACUGAACGAGGUUCCAGGAAAAGCCACUAAGCUUCAGCUAUACACGACCGUACCGCAAACCGACACUGGUGCGCGAGAUGAGUAUUCUAAGGCGCUUGAGAGAACUCAGGAGAAGGAACUCGGCAAAUUGACACCGUAACUUCGGAAGAAGGUGUGCCCUAUUAGUGUGAAGUGAACAACGGAGCAUGAAUGGGUUGCAAAAAAUCGGUGGCUGCGACUGUUUAUUAAAAACACAGCACUCUGCAAACACGAAAGUGGACGUAUAGGGUGUGACGCCUGCCCGGUGCUGGAAGAUUAAAUGAUGGGGUGCAAGCUCUUGAUUGAAGUCCCAGUAAACGGCGGCCGUAACGAUAACGGUCCUAAGGUAGCGAAAUUCCUUGUCGGGUAAGUUCCGACCUGCACGAAUGGCGUAACGAUGGCCACACUGUCUCCUCCUGAGACUCAGCGAAGUUGAAAUGUUUGUGAUGAUGCAAUCUCCCCGCGGAAAGACGGAAAGACCCCAUGAACCUUUACUGUAGCUUUGUAUUGGACUUUGAACAGAUCUGUGUAGGAUAGGUGGGAGGCUUUGAAGCAGGGUCGCUAGAUCUUGUGGAGCCAACGUUGAAAUACCACCCUGGUGUGUUUGAGGUUCUAACCUAGGUCCAUUAUCUGGAUCGGGGACAGUGCAUGGUAGGCAGUUUGACUGGGGCGGUCUCCUCCCAAAGCGUAACGGAGGAGUUCGAAGGUACGCUAGUUACGGUCGGACAUCGUGACGAUAGUGCAAUGGCAUAAGCGUGCUUAACUGCGAGACUGACAAGUCGAGCAGAUGCGAAAGCAGGACAUAGUGAUCCGGUGGUUCUGUAUGGAAGGGCCAUCGCUCAACGGAUAAAAGGUACUCUGGGGAUAACAGGCUGAUACCGCCCAAGAGUUCAUAUCGACGGCGGUGUUUGGCACCUCGAUGUCGGCUCAUCUCAUCCUGGGGCUGUAGCCGGUCCCAAGGGUAUGGCUGUUCGCCAUUUAAAGAGGUACGUGAGCUGGGUUUAAAACGUCGUGAGACAGUUUGGUCCCUAUCUUCCGUGGGCGCUUCAGAUUUGAGGAAGCCUGCUCCUAGUACGAGAGGACCGGAGUGGACACACCUCUGGUG
Molecule: ribosomal RNA, 1374 nt
Filed under: metagenome
Description: bacterial LSU rRNA
Rfam family: Bacterial large subunit ribosomal RNA
Source: RNAcentral